AGCGAACGCUGGCGGCAGGCCUAACACAUGCAAGUCGAACGAACUCUUCGGAGUUAGUGGCGGACGGGUGAGUAACACGUGGGAACGUGCCUUUUGGUUCGGAAUAACUCAGGGAAACUUGUGCUAAUACCGAAUGUGCCCUUCGGGGGAAAGAUUUAUCGCCAUUAGAGCGGCCCGCGUCUGAUUAGCUAGUUGGUGAGGUAACGGCUCACCAAGGCGACGAUCAGUAGCUGGUCUGAGAGGAUGACCAGCCACACUGGGACUGAGACACGGCCCAGACUCUUACGGGAGGCAGCAGUGGGGAAUCUUGCGCAAUGGGCGAAAGCCUGACGCAGCCAUGACGCGUGAAUGAUGAAGGUCUUAGGAUUGUAAAAUUCUUUCACCGGGGACGAUAAUGACGGUACCCGGAGAAGAAGCCCCGGCUAACUUCGUG
RNAcentral lists this ribosomal RNA (433 nucleotides) under uncultured bacterium. RNAcentral's name for it is "partial 16S ribosomal RNA". It matches the Rfam family "Bacterial small subunit ribosomal RNA", at positions 29 to 507 of the family's 1533-position model. The record is from RNAcentral.